CACUGCAGUUAACUCCCUCAACGCACGUGUAAACAAUCUAAUUAUUUAAAUAUAGCAACAUUUAUUGAGUGACGAUGAUUCGAAUUUAAAAAAAAAAAAUCAAUCAAAAGAUCAAACUAUCGUGAAAAUUAAACUAACAUCUUCGGUGAAAGAAUACUUCUUUCAACAAUGCUAACCACGUCGAAAUAAAUUACAUAUAAAAAUCUACGCGAGCGAAAUGAUCAAAUUUUUUGAACACGACAGAAAAGAAGCAACGAAAAUAAAUAAAUAAAUAAAUGACUCACCUAAAAUAAAUAACGAUGACGAUGAAGGGAUCCACAUCUUCAUUUGUUGGCCGGUGCAACCCUGCGGACAAUUUUUGGGUAUCGAAUCUCCAAGUAGGGAAAGACGCAGCAACUUCAGCUCUGAGCGGCCUCAAGAUUGCAGUCUCCCUUCUGAGAUGGUCCAUGAACGUCUGGUUGAAGGACCGCCAGGUUUGGACUGAGGAAACAAAAAAUAAAAAUUAGAAUAUUUCUCAAAGAAAAGAUGCUGUUAUUUUCAAUAAAGACCUUACCUCGCCGUCGAUUUUCUUUGCUGCCUUUGAAUCUAUUUGUUGUAAUUGCUCUUUGAGCACCUACCGCUAUCCAUUUUAGAUGUACUUUUGGAGGGACUGUUUCGAUGUCUAACUGGGGAUGUCCAGCUUUUCACAAGAGAAUUUUCUAUCGGAGAUCCAUCCGGGCCGGUAGCCAAGUCUUGGUAUGCAUCAUGCCCCCCUUGAGCAGCUGUCCAGUAUUCCAAUGUUGCUGUCAUAUCACUUCUGAUCAUAGGUUUUCGAUCGACGUCCUUAAGGACCAUGUGUUG
RNAcentral lists this unclassified non-coding RNA (840 nucleotides) under Athalia rosae (coleseed sawfly). RNAcentral's name for it is "misc RNA ENSAEAG00005007324.1". Lineage: Eukaryota; Metazoa; Arthropoda; Insecta; Hymenoptera; Athaliidae. The record is from RNAcentral.